Molecule: long non-coding RNA, 386 nt
Organism: Rhineura floridana
Lineage: Eukaryota; Metazoa; Chordata; Lepidosauria; Squamata; Rhineuridae
Exons: 2
Source: RefSeq, a predicted model, not a curated record
ACUGAGAUCGCCAGUUCUCCUUGGAACUCCUCACUGCUCUGGGGAAACUGGGGCGACUAUAACAACAUGGUCAGCUGCCUGUACACUCUGUGACCACAUGGCGAGCCGGGCCUUAUUACACACACUGCAUAGGCUGCUGUGUCGGCUGCAUAGAGACAUGAGGUAAACCAUGUAAGAGGUUUCUUUAGCAAGGAACACUCUUACCACCUUUCAAAAAGAGCCAAAUAAGGAUGGGACUUAGAAGCAAGUAACGGUGAGAAGCAUAAAAUCAACCUAUUAACCAUCGUUACCAAUGCAUUCUUAACUUUAGCUGCAAUGUUAGUGUGGAAUUUAUUUAUUUUUUUACUAUCUGUGGCUCCUCGUGAUUAAAUGUAGCGUGCACAUAA